Non-coding RNA from Salmo salar (Atlantic salmon), 71 nucleotides. The record is from Rfam. Lineage: Eukaryota; Metazoa; Chordata; Actinopteri; Salmoniformes; Salmonidae.
GACCUCGUGGCGCAACGGUAGCGCGUCUGACUCCAGAUCAGAAGUUUGCGUGUCAAAUCAUGUCCUGGUCA